Molecule: non-coding RNA, 1546 nt
Organism: Arachis ipaensis
Lineage: Eukaryota; Viridiplantae; Streptophyta; Magnoliopsida; Fabales; Fabaceae
Source: RefSeq, a predicted model, not a curated record
ACGUGACACUCCUAAUAACGUAAUAACAAAGCCCCUAAAACCCUAAGUGAUACUCACUCACGCAGCGCCUCCCUCAGUCCCUCCCUCACCCUUAUUCUCAGAAUCUCCGUUCUCCUCCAUAGCGCCUCCCUCCCUCCAUCCGUAGAGUCGUAGAUCGUAGUGCGUCCCUCCUCCUCCUCCAUCUGCGACGCUGUUCUUCUGCCCUGCCAUCCUUCUCAUGCAAUCCACGGCGGUGGCGCGUUCCUCGUCGCCAAGUCGCGAGUCCCUACCGCGGCGCUCUUCUCCGUCAAAGAAGCAGCAGCAGUUCUAUCACUAUCAACAGGAAUGGAAGAGUAAAGGACAUCAUUCUGAAGCGGAAGAUCGGAAAUGGGUCGUUCUCGGCGGUGUGGAGGGCGAGCACAGAGGCACCGACGAAGAGGUGGCAGUGAAACAGGUCUUCCUCUCCAAACUCAUCCCCCGCCUUAAGUCAUCGAUCCACUGCGAGCUCAAUUUCUUGUCCUCCGUCAACCACCCCAACAUCGUUCGCCUCCUUGAUUUCUUCCAGUAUGAAUGUAUGAUGGAUGUGCGUACUUGGUGAUGGAGUUCUGUGCUGGAGGGAACCUUGCUUCUUAUAUCCGAUCCCAUGGGAGAGUUCAACAAUAAACUGCCCGAAGAUUCAUGCAGCAGCUUGGUUCUGGUAUGAAAAUAUUACAAAGUCAUGGUAUCAUUCAUAGAGACUUGAAACCAAAGGUAAAGCUAAAAUGAAAAAUGUAUGUGACGUUGUUGCUACUUUGGUUUGAGAUGCCUAUUACUACAUUAACAUUUAUGUGAAGUAAAUACUUACUUCGGUUGGUGGAUUGGGAGGGCCAUUAGUAAAUACUUACUUUAGGAAAUGUUGUAUUGAGAGACAUUGGUGGAUAUAUUCAAGAAAAGGUGUGUUAUUAAUUGUAUGCAGUUAGAGCACCCCAUCAAUGAAAAAGAGAUCAAGUAAGUCACUUUAAUAAUAUCUUCUAAAUUCUCCCUCUUUUAAAUCCUUUUAGAUACUAGUACGUAUUUCUUUUCAUGUAGCUCAACUCAAGAAUAGCAUAUACUGAAGCUUACUCGAAUCAUAAGUUGUGCCCUCUUUCCAAGAUUCAGGUAGGUGCCCAAAACUAUGACGAUCAUUUUGGAAUUUCGACCAGCCCAAAUGGAAAGUUCCAUGUGUUUUUAUCUGCGAAAAGUGCUGUGGAUUCAGGAGUGUACAAUGCUACAAACUCACUACAUAGAAUUGAUUGGCCAACCUGUGGAAAACUCACUACAAACUGCAUCAUGAUAAGUGUAUAAGGUUGAUAUGGUUGUUACUGAUGGGAGCAGAAUUUUGGGACUUGGAGAUUGGAGUUCAUGGAAAUGGCAAUCCAUUGGGAAGCUUGAUCUGUAUGUUGCAGCUGCUGGGAUAAAUCCUAAAGGAGAGUUCGCACCCUGGGAUGAUUCCGUCGCCGUGAAUGACAUUGUUGCUGGUCUAAAAGGAUUCAGAGAUGAUGAUGUGAAGCCAUUUUCUUCUGGUUUGAAUUCAGCUGAGACACAGGUU